Molecule: long non-coding RNA, 667 nt
Filed under: Carica papaya (papaya)
Lineage: Eukaryota; Viridiplantae; Streptophyta; Magnoliopsida; Brassicales; Caricaceae
Description: long non-coding RNA (CPAP_LNC008564)
Source: RNAcentral
CGAGCAACUCCUUCAAUUCAGUAGUAAGUUACCCGACCAUUUGCUUCCCAUUCCCGUUCUGUGAAACACCAAAUGAAAUUCAAAAACAAAACCUUUAGCAUAUAUAUACUAUGCAACUUCCCAAUUAUGAACCCUAGUUUUCUCAGCUCCACAUGCCAAAUACAAUGAAUGAUCAGAGAAGCAGAAAAACGGACCUACGUGAUUGUUAUGAAGAGAGUCAACAGAGCCUCAGGUUCUUGAAAAUUCAGAUAUAGCAGUUGGAUUCUACGGCUGAGAAAUUUCAAGUUUCUUGGACCAGCUCCGAGUUUAAGAGGUUAGACUCCCCACCCAAAACCAGAAAGGAGCUCUACUUUUCCGUUUGAUGAUUUGGUUUCCCUUCUCUGUUUUCUGUUGCCUCAUUUUUUCUUCUCCAUUUCUCCUGUACCGUUUCUCUUCUGAAUUGCUUGAUGGGAUUAGACACAAGCCCGUAUAUCUAGCCAGGUCGCCAGACAAAAGGCCGGCCUCUGGAAAACAAUUCGGAACCAUGAGCAAGCUUUUUAGGGCUAGGACACAGUAAACUAAACAUAUAUAUUUAUAUGUACAUAUAUGUUUUGUUCAUGGAUUCAUAUGAAGCAAAAAUAAUAAUUUGGUUGCUAUACUUUUAAUUUUUAUUCAAAUUAAUUCUCAC